Anas platyrhynchos (mallard) is the source of this 2524-nucleotide non-coding RNA. The record is from RefSeq and is a predicted model, not a curated record. Lineage: Eukaryota; Metazoa; Chordata; Aves; Anseriformes; Anatidae.
CCUCUCAUUGUCUGGUAUAUCUAGGAUCAUUUCUAGCCCUGGAAACAAUUGUCUCUCUGAUGCCCUUACAUUUGAUUUUAUUCACUGGUAUUGAACAUCAGCAUUUCAAAAUGCCUUCUUGAAGUGUGAGUCUUGUUUCUCUUGAUUUAAACUGGAAACGGAUCUGCUUCUUUGAUGGAUGCUUGCUGGUCUGGUGGGAUAGAUGAAGAGAACGGACCUACCAGAUGGAGGAGCAGAGCUUGAAAGCAGAACAGAGAUGGAGGAAUAAAACUUGAAAGCAGAACCAAGAUCCAUAUCACCACCCUAAAAAAAACUACUUUAAAAAACAAGUGAAGAAAAAAAAAAUCGUGACCUUGGACUCUUCCAAAAUGCCAAGAGGCAUUUCUUUGGGGUUGAGCACCUUAGAGGCAUCUGUGUGCUUUUUGUCGUCAUCACCAGGGCAGCGUGGCGUGUGGACAAGCCAACUGGUUGGUGCAUCUCAGUUGAGAUGGUGAUAUGACAAGGCCAUGGACAGGACUGACUGCCAGAAUUACUGUCACAAGGAAAUCUUGUGCCUCCUUGGAAAGCAAGGACUCAAAAUCAGAGGUGUUUGGCUUUCUAUAGAACUUCAAGAAGCUCUCCCCCAGUCAGUGGCAAGUUGGUACUCAUGCAGCUGGACACGUACCCCUAGACGCAGGGGUGUAUGCACACACAAGCACGUGUGCACUUCACUAUUUUGCUCAGUGUAUUUUGACCUUCAGCACCAAAGUAGGACUCACUUCUGACUACAGGAUUUAUGUCAAAGCUGGUAUAUCUUCAUCACUCACCAGGGCUUUUCAUUAGACAAAGGGGCUGUGUCACCUUUACUCUCUUUUCUUCUGAGUCUCCUUUCUAUCAUGAGCUUUUAGAGCUGCGAUAAACAGGAGUGAGCCAUACACAGCAUAAUGAUAACCCAGAUGACAGUGUCAAAUCUACAUUCACUCCAUGUGCAAGUGUUACUGAAGGAGAAGACACCAGGGAAGGGUGAGCAGAAGUGGCAAAAACAAAAGGGCAACUGCAAUGGAAAUGGGAUGAGGCUUACCCAAAUUCUGUUAAAGUAAUAAACCACUUUAUGAAAAAUAUACAUCAGAUUAGAGAGAUGCCUGAGACACAAUCCUAGACUUAUUUAAAAAACAAACAAACAAACAAAAAAUUUAUGGAAGUCAACUCAUCACCUCUGAAUGCUAUUUUCAAUGGCAAACCUCCCUGCAAUGACAUUUCUUGGUCUAGAGUCACAGUCUUGCAGACCCAAAGUCUGGAGCAAGGACCUGUUUGCCAAGAAAGAGGCCAGAGACAAGUCUGCUUGCUGAAAACAGGAACGCAAAAAAAUAAUAAAGACUUUAAAUUCAACAGCAGGUCAUGAAAUAAUACAUUUUCAAGGGAAAAGAAAUCACUGUCAUAUGUAAAAAUGUACUUCAUAAAAGGAGACGAGGAUGUGCCUUUGGCAGUUUAGAUGGGCCUGCACCUGGAAGACUUUCUGGGAUAUUGGUCUGUCCUUUCUUGAAAGACACUGAGAAAUGAAAGGGGAUCAAGAAAAGACAACUGCUAUACAAGGAAAGGACGAGCACUGUGGGCCCCCAAAGCCAGAGACCUUGUGGGUUUUGAGAAGUACCUCACAUUGUAGCUUGGGACAGAGCCCCUGUGAGGGUCAUAGUAAGGAGCUACUGCAUGUGCCUCACACUUGAGGAAAGAGGGAGAACAGGACCCAGCUUGCAAAGAGCCUCUGGGGGCAUCCUUCCCCAAGACAGGGAGAACAAGGACAGGAGACACCCAGGGAGAAGGCUGGCAUGACCUUGAUUUUGCAGCAGCACAGGCAUGAGAAUUUCCAUGGUGGAGUUUGAAAUACCUCUUGGUUUGCAUAGCGGAGAUAAAUUGCACUAAAUAGAAUGGGGAACAUGACGGUAAUUAACAGAAAUGAAAAGAUUUAGCUGUCCAAGUUGAAAGAGGUAGCUGGCCAGCAAAGGAAUGGCUGUAUGUCUGUUUGGAGGGUCGUGUAUCUCAGACACGCUCUGUAGUUGGUCUGCUGCCUUUUCAGUAAAGUCACAUUUGUCCUCCCACUGGGUCUGGCAGGAGCACCAAAGGCAGAAGCUUCUCAGACUUUCACUACCCAAAUUUUAUAGGAAGACGUAGUGAACACUACCUAGUCAUAUCAUACUAUAGGGACAGCCUAGGCUUAGAGACAGUUUUGCAAAAAAAAAAAAAAAGUAUAUAUAUAGUGUGUAUAUAUAUAUAUAUAUGAACUUGAAUCUCUCGUGUCUUCUGGAUGUGGAUAAGAGGGAGAAAACUGGUGACACCUAAACUCCCCAAACUACUUGACCAUGUAGCUACAGCUACAGCUUCCUGGGCUCCUCUUUCCAACUGCAGCAGCAUCAGUAAUCUUUUGCUAAUAUAUAUGGGUAUAAAAGUUUUUGAGAGAUCCCAGAACAGAAAGACUCUUACCUGUAUCUUUGUUUUCCUUCCUGUGUUAAUAAUAGCCACUAUAUUCCCAAUAAAAAUAUUCAGAGUA